GAUGGGGGUGACAGGUUCCCUGAGAUGACCCAGCAAACCGGGGGGCCCCUUCCCCUCAAACGCUGUUCUCCACAGUUUGACGGUUCUCAAGCCCCAUCCCCCAGUGCCCACGUCACUCUGCCAGCCCCUCCACCAUUCCUGAGCCCUGACUCACCAGGACUUGUGGUCCGCUCUGACCCCGGGCCUUUCCCCUGGGACCUAUUUCCCGCCUUUGUCUUCUUCAAGUUCAUUCACCAGGUCUUCCGUUCCCAGCAGCACUUGGCACUCCCUGAGACCCCCCACCCCCAUUCCCCACCACAGGUCUCAGCGGGGACCCCCUCCAGGCCUCUCACACCGGUCCCGACCACUUGGGGAUCCCCGGCCUCUGGGGAGGGGCAGUGACUGGAGGAAUUCUGGGGGAGGAGUUCAGCAGUGGGGGGAAGGGCGCCCAGAACUCCAAGUUGGAGGGGAAAGGCUCCUCGUCUGCCCCUAGAUCAAGCUCCCAAAGGCGGGGCCAUCUUUCUUUCUUCCUCCGUAAGUGGAGUCCCUAUAACAGAGCCUUAUUCUCCUCUGAACCCCACAGCUGGGUCCCAAGCUCAGGACCCACCACUCUGUACUUCCUCCAAAUCCGGUCUGAAGGGAGGACCUGUCCAUCCCCAAACCUGCUUGGGAAUCUGUGGGUGCCUGAUGCCCCAGCCCCAGCCUGGAUUCCCUGGAAGCCCCAGCCUCCCCGAGCCGCCCCUCCUGGACCCCUUAAUUACCCGCUGGGUGUAAAUGACACUUUAAUUUCCUCUGAAUGGUCGUUGCACCACCCCCCCCCACCUGCCACCCAUUCCUAAUUACAAGUUGCUGUUUCCGACUUGCCUCCUGGUGGCCCAAUUUCAAAACAGUGAUUAAAAUUAAUUACCCAGGAGCCCCCUCCCCAGAGGGGAGGAGGCCCAGGAGCCCCAGAGACAUAUCCAUGUCCCCACUGGAGGUUCUGCCUGGGCUCCCACACCCUGACUUCCCAAGUGGCCUGGGGACAGGGACAGCGUCUCUCUGGGUCUCUGCUUGCCUGUCUGUGAAGUACUUUAGCUGGCCAGAAGCGGUGGCUCACGCUUGUAAUCCCAACACUUUGGCAGGCCGAGGCAGGUGGAUCACUAGAGGUCAGGAGUUCGAGACCAGCCUGACCAACAUGGUGAAACCCCGUCUCUACUAAAAACACAAAAAUUAGCCGGGCAUGGUGGCACGUGCCUGUAGUCCCAACUACUUGGGAGGCUGUGGCAGGAGAAUCGCUUGAACCGGGAGGAGGAAGUUGCAGUGAACCUAGAUCGUACCACUGCACUCCAGCCUGGGUGACAGAGCGAGACUCUGUCUCAAUAAAGAAAAACAAAAUGUAGGGUGUGCCACCAUCAUGGGCAGGGAACGCGUUGUGAGCACUUGGUAAAUGUCAGCAAGAGGUGACCUCACACAGUGGCUCACACCUUUAAUCCCAACACUUCGGGAGGCUGAGGCAGGAGAAUCGUUUGAACCCAAGAGUUCAAGACCAGCCUGGGUAUCAUACCCCUCUCUACAAAAAAUUUGCCGGAUGUGGUGGUGCACACCUGUAGUCCCAGCUACUCAGGAGGUUGAGGCAGGAGGAUUGGUUGAGCCUGGGAGGUCAAGGUUGCAGUGAGCCGAGAUCACGCCACUGCACUCCAGCCUGGGUGACAGAGACCCUAUCUCCAAAAAAAAAAAAAAAGAAAAAGAAAAAAAA
This 1714-nucleotide long non-coding RNA is filed under the name Macaca fascicularis (crab-eating macaque). Its description in RNAcentral is "lncRNA (ENSMFAG00000061794.1)". The record is from RNAcentral. Lineage: Eukaryota; Metazoa; Chordata; Mammalia; Primates; Cercopithecidae.